UGGUGUAAUGAUGUUUUUCCAUCUUUCGGGGCAUAUCAUUUUUGAUGAUAAUAUAUUUUGCUGAACACCU
RNAcentral lists this small nucleolar RNA (70 nucleotides) under Lottia gigantea (owl limpet). Its description in RNAcentral is "Small nucleolar RNA SNORD2". It matches the Rfam family "Small nucleolar RNA SNORD2". Lineage: Eukaryota; Metazoa; Mollusca; Gastropoda; Lottiidae. The record is from Rfam by way of RNAcentral.